This 96-nucleotide Y RNA is filed under the name Microcebus murinus (gray mouse lemur). Its description in RNAcentral is "Y RNA (ENSMICG00000043786.1)". It matches the Rfam family "Y RNA". Rfam says of the family: Y RNAs are components of the Ro ribonucleoprotein particle (Ro RNP), in association with Ro60 and La proteins. The Y RNAs and Ro60 and La proteins are well conserved, but the function of the Ro RNP is not known. Lineage: Eukaryota; Metazoa; Chordata; Mammalia; Primates; Cheirogaleidae. The record is from Rfam by way of RNAcentral.
GGUUGGUCUGAGUGCAGUGAUGUUUACAACUAAUUGAUCACAACCAGUUACAGAUUCCUGUGUUCUUCCUCCACUACUUCACUUGACCAGCCUAAA